This is a long non-coding RNA of Passer domesticus (house sparrow), 3521 nucleotides long. RefSeq lists it as uncharacterized. NCBI's taxonomy places the organism in Eukaryota, Metazoa, Chordata, Aves, Passeriformes, Passeridae. The record is from RefSeq and is a predicted model, not a curated record. The transcript is spliced from 4 exons.
CUCCUAGCUGAAAUGCAAAUGGUGUCUUUGGAAGCUGGGGUUGUGCUUGGUAACAUCUGAGGAGUGGGUGUGAUGAGGAGCCCUGAUACUGACACUUGGACUGUCAACACCUGUCACCUGCUGAAACCAUGGAAUGGGGGCUCUUGUGAGGAGGUGACACAAAACCCUCAAAACCACAACCAAGGUUGCUAAACAGGCUCUAAAAAGGCAGAUCAGAGGGGAGGCCAUGCUAAGAAGUUUCUAAAACAGAAAUUCAGCUGAGGACUGGGCUUCAUUUCUCACUUGUGAUGAUGGUCUUCAGCUACUUGGAAGCUGCAGGUGAAUUCUUUCUGCUUUGCAAGAAGACUCGUUACAUUUGGAAUCUGCAUGCAGUCAGAGGGAAAACCCUGAUGGGAGACAAGCACUUGCCAUAAAUUAGCAGCUUUAUGAAUAUUUGAGUUGGUUGCACUCCUGGAGCAUCCUAGUGGGUCAGCUCUGCUGUGGCUGCACAAAUGUGCUUCUGUGUGGCGUGCAAGUGCUGUGAGAAAUGGAUCCAGGCUGGCUGGAGGCAGGCUCUCUGUACACUGAUUAACAUCUGAGCGUGAUGUAGGGGAAGAUUUAAAUGUGGAUAAAGGGUAUUUCCUAUUAAAUUAUAAAAGAAGAACAUGCUGUAUGAAUUGCUUGCCUGUAGUUUUCACUGUGUAUGUAUGUAAUGAGAUAAUGCAUGUUAAUCCUCAUGAAUCAACCAGGAAUAUGUUGGAAAAAAGUUUAACUCAUUUCUUCCUCUUGUGGGUGGCAUCUGUAAAGAUUCCAAAUACCCUGGACAUGCUCCUCCCAAGUAAGACUUGAAAGGGUAAUAGCUGUGAGCUCAACACUGUAUUUCACCUAAGAAGCUCUGAGUAAUUUAUAAGCAGCCUAUUCCUAAGGUGUGGAAGUGUUACUACAUCACCUAGAACUAUAUGAGGAACCAGCAAGGCACACUGGUCACUAUCUAUUGUUGUUGUUGUUUCCUAUUGUGUAGACAGAAAUUUUUUGGUUUAGAAUGAGAGAGAUGACCUGAGAAGUCAGUGUAAGAAGUCAGAGUUAAGUUCUAGGGAUACAAGGGAAAUUAAUAGAAGGUUGAUUAAGUAAUGAAGGGCUGAAGCUUUGUGCAGAGGGGCUUGGAUGACAUCAUGAACUUGAAAUGCAGAACAGCAGGGGCUCUUUCAUUUUACUAGAUGCAAGAGCCCUGACAUACAAUUUUCCUUUUCCCAAACACUGAAUUUUUACUAAUAAAGCAUUAGAGUGUGUAGGCAGCCUAUUCCUGUCUCCAUUGUUAUGCUGAAAAUACAGCAAGUCUCAGGGCUGACGUUGGUGAAAGGAGCUGUUGUGAGAGAAUUGUGUAUCUUUUGGUCACACUUUUGACAAAAUAGCUGCUACCUUUAUGAGUCUUUUAAGUCUGGCAGAUGUUUUUAUCCUUCCUCCCUAAAGUUACUUUGGUUGAAUCAUCUUUAUUAGGUAGAGACAUAUAUAAUUCAAAAGACAUAAUUAGUAAUUUGAAUAUAAACACUUUGUGAUAGCUGUUAUGAAUGUUGGGACUGUUAUUGUAACUACAUGGAGCUGCAUUCAGUCUGCUUUACAAUGUUUGUGGUUUAAAGAGAAAUGGGCUGCCUAACUUUAAAAACUAGUCAGAUCUGGGACUUCAUUUGGCAUCAGCCUGAGAACAGUGUUGCAGCCUGCUUCUGGCAGACAUUUACAGGCAACUCUCUAAAGAGGGAGGAGAAAAAAAUCAAAAUACACAGAAUUGCUACCAUGACUUUCUUAAAAGGAAGCUUGUGUGUAGAAGUUUUGAAACACACAAGUAUUUGCUUUUUGGAAGAGCUUUUCUUGUUAGACACUCUCCCCACCCUUUAAAGCUCUCAGAUUAAUCCUGAUGCAAAAUAGCACAAGCUAUUAAUUAUCAAGAAACCCCUUCACAGGAUGGAAAACUCAUUUUACAUAAAUCCUUAUUAGCCAUAUCUUCUCAGUGUAGCAGAACUUUACUUUUCAUGUCUCUUGACAGCUCCCAGUUUGACAAAGGAAGCUUAGCUUCACUAAAAAAAGCAAAUCCAUUUUUUUGGGAUUCCAAUUAACACGUUGACAUUGUGUUAUAGAGCUGGAGGUGUAUGAAAUUAUUCCCUGGGAGUUUACCACCACUGGGAAAGGUGAUUGAUUCUGCUACCUGGAGGAAGUAAUAGAUAAUGUAUUAAGUAACACAGGGAUGGUUUGUUUUGUUCCCCCUAAGCAAAAGAUAAAUUCCAUCUUCAUUUUAAUUUUUACAUGAGAGGCAGCACCACACAGAGGCACAGCUGCAAAGCUCAAACUUCUGCUGCUCCAUAUUGGGACCCCAGUGAAGCAGAACAUUAAUCUGUACAGCAAACAAAUGACUAUCAUUUACAUAAUUACAUUUAGUCACAAUUUAUAACAUAUUCAUAAGUGCAUGAGUGAGAAUGAUGCAUUUGCUGUGUAAGGGAUAGAAAUUGUGGAUCAGCCUGGGCUUUGCCAGGACAGGAGGAGUAACAAAAAGAAGUCAUUUUCCAGUAUGUUACAAAAUUCACACUUGUUAUUUGGAGUCCAGCUGUCCUUACCUGUCCUUUCUGGUCUUUUUGUACUGAUGGAUUUUAUUUCUGUGAGUGACUAUGGGCUGAGGUUCUUUUGUGUAAACCUAUGGUAAUUCUUACAGUGACCUUUGGGAAAAAGAGAAAAAAAUGUGUUUUUCUCCAGAAAUGUUUCCAUUAACAACUCAUUAUUUACUUGAAGGUGAAAAAGAGUGGCUAGAAAUCAAAGGGACUUCCAAUAAAUGUCUUUUGAUCUUUAACUAUGGCCCUUAUGAUUACCAUAGUUGCACUAUGUGAGAAAUUAUAUAGCAGAAUCAACCUUUCAUAAAGUUUAAGCAAGUCCUCUUUCCCCAGAAGAGUAUCAAAUAAUAAUCUUAGGCAUUACUUUUAUCCCUACCAAUGUUUGCUUUCUCCACUCUUACAUUUUUUUCUUAUUUUUCUUGGUUUUACCUCUUUUUUCUGCUUUACUCACCUUUUCUUUUUCCCUUCUUGAUUUUUACAAGUCAAAAGGGAAGCAAUCAUACCACCAAGUGAUAGAACUGGUAGAAAUCCUGUAAGAGUUGUUUGUAUCUCAGUCUCCAUAUUUCGCAUGUUUUCCUGUAAUUCUGCUACUUUUUAAGCAAUUGGAAAACUAUUUCUGAGAUUUUUGUUUUGUUUUUAACUUCAAUUAUUUCUCUGAGUUUGAGUUCUCACAUAAAUGCAUCACUCUGUAAUUCUGAAGAGCAUACAAUUACAACUCAGUUUUUUGGUGAAAACAGAAAAUUAGAUGAUAUAAAAACCAUCUCAUCUGAUAGAAUAAAUUGUAAAAAGGCAACUUUUCGCUAAAACCAGUCUUUUGUUUUCUCCUGGAAAUUAGAUCCCUGUCAGAUAAUUCUCUGUCCAAAAGGAAUCAGUCUCCUAAUCCGUGGUUUUGUGUGCUUGUGGUGGGGUUUUUUGAUUGGAUAUUGGUUUGGUUUGGGUUUUUUU